This 253-nucleotide ribosomal RNA is filed under the name uncultured Dongia sp. RNAcentral describes it as "partial 16S ribosomal RNA". It matches the Rfam family "Bacterial small subunit ribosomal RNA", at positions 524 to 776 of the family's 1533-position model. Lineage: Bacteria; Pseudomonadati; Pseudomonadota; Alphaproteobacteria; Rhodospirillales; Dongiaceae. The record is from RNAcentral.
UACGAAGGGAGCUAGUGUUGUUCGGAAUUACUGGGCGUAAAGGGCGCGUAGGCGGUUUAGUCAGUCAGAUGUGAAAGCCCAGGGCUUAACCCUGGAACUGCGUUUGAUACUGCUAAGCUUGAAUUCGGGAGAGGUGAGUGGAAUUCCCAGUGUAGAGGUGAAAUUCGUAGAUAUUGGGAAGAACACCGGUGGCGAAGGCGGCUCACUGGACCGACAUUGACGCUGAGGCGCGAAAGCGUGGGGAGCAAACAGG